RNA transcript from Solanum verrucosum, 2479 nucleotides. RefSeq lists it as uncharacterized. The transcript has 2 exons. The record is from RefSeq and is a predicted model, not a curated record. NCBI's taxonomy places the organism in Eukaryota, Viridiplantae, Streptophyta, Magnoliopsida, Solanales, Solanaceae.
UAAGCUGGUUCUUGCGCUGUUCAGCUGCAAAUUUUAGUCCUCGGUCAGAUUGCAAUUCUGACGAUAUGCAUGAUCCUAAUGAGUAGAGUUAAUAAUAGAAACCUAAAUGUAAUACCCGGUGCAAACUAUGUUCUUCGGUGAGAAAUUAAAAGAAGUAAUUGCUUCCCUUCAUGGGAAGCAAGCAGGUCAUGGGUGCCGGUGAGUGUCCAUUGGUUGCUCGAUUGUGAUAUUAGCUGUUCCUAUGAUAAAAGACGGAGCUCGAGUUUAUUCUUUGCAAUUCAUGAGGUAACUGUACAUGCUUUAGUAUCUAAUUGAUUUGGAGGACUGGUUAGUAUGUCUGGGGAUUUGUAUGUUGUCUGGUGCCAAUAUAUAUUGUUGCUUAAAUGUUAAUCAUUGUUAUACAGAAAACGAAGUCGUUCAUUGUCCCCUAGGCGCCGCAAAAGUCGUUCUCCAGCCACCAGACGUCAUAAGAGUCGCUCUCCAAGGAACCAUAGGAGACAGAGAAGUAGGAGUACCUCAUUGUCUCCUAUUGGUAAAUCACCUGGUUCAAGUAUUGGAUCGAAAGAGCAAAAGGGUAUCAGUGAAAAAAAUAAACUUGAUGAAGAGGAGAAGAAAAGGUACUGCUGUAUUUGUAAAGCUUCUCAUUUUCUGUAGCUAUUUAUGUCUUGUAUUGUUCCUUUCCAUCUCUUCCUCAUCUUAGAGCAAGCUAUGCUGUUGUUUUGAGUAUUCACCUAUAGAAUUAAGACUUAUUUUAUACACUCUUUCAGCUUUUAAGCAUACACCUCUAGUUUCUGUACUGUUUUCCUGAAACCAAUUGUGGAUAAAUGGAAAAUUUGCUUAGAAAUGUUUACACUGAGGCCACUGGAGAGUUUUUUUCUGAUUAGUUAUAAUGGACUGACCUUUGGAGAUUACAGAACAGAAUGUCAGUUCUUUAAUUGAAAGAUUUUUGUGAAGAGCCUGAUGAUGAGGUAGAUGUAGGAUCGGAUGGUGGGAAUUUUGGCGCUUUACUCCAUUGCCUGAAAAUGAGAAGAUGUUUAUUGUUCAUGAAAGCUCAGCUCUAAAAUUAAAAUAAACCUUGUCUGUGAGUGUUGAGUGGUAGAUAUUUGUAGAAUGUGGUCGAUUUGAAUUGUUGUUGUGUAAUAUGUGUAUCUACUGUUUAAUGUAGCAUGCUAUUGUUACACUUGUAUGCUUCACAUUUUUAUUUAACCUCCUUAUCCUUCUAAUUUGACAUGAAGGCAGUAAUGUUCCUCCCGGAAUAAAAGAAUUUCAGGGACAAUGCCCCCAAAAAAUGAAGAUAUAAAAUUAGUGCUGCUUGCCUGAGCUCCCUAGCUAUGCCUAAUGGAUCUGGGUUUUAUUGCACUCUUCUUCUUGCCUUAUUAUUUCUAAUCAUAGGUAAAUGGCUAUAGGGUUGAUGGAGUUGAAUCUGUCUAUGUUGCAAGUGGAUUGCAAGUUUCUAUAGUACAUGUUAUAAGACAGUAUAAUGCAAAGAAUGCAGCUGGAUCACCAAGUAGCAAAACAAACAACAGCAAGAGUGCUGCAUGUAAUUAGUUAUGCCUUCUAAUUGGUUCAGCAAUUGCUAAAUUAUUUAAGGCUGAUAAAGAAAGAGAGAAACGCAACCUUAAUCUUUGUUUGGUUAUUCUGCCAUGCUGCCCAUCAAUGGUCUUAUCUGUCCUUCAUUACAUCAACAGAUGUGGCAACUGCAAGGACAGAUGUUACAUGUAUUUGCUAAAACAUGUUAUUUUUCAGAACCAGCCUCACAAAAGUUAAUAGGACAGGCAUAAUCAUGAAUGUACUCGUUAAUAAGGAACAUUUGACAAGAUUUAGAUUGGCCAUUAUUUAGUGUAGAUGAAUGUACUCAAACGUCUUGUCCAUUUCAAGUUGGCUUGGAACAAGUUUCUUUAGUUCUGUUAUGCUCUAAUCUGAAUCUUGAACAGUAUCUUGUGACUCAAGCAUUGGUCUCAGGCUUCUUUUUGUCACCAUUUCUGACUAUUUUAGCUGACAUGUUGGCAGUUUUGGUCAUCUAUUAAAGAAGUAGAAACUUUUCUGUUUAAAGUUCUACUUUUGCUGUAAAGUUGCUAGUAUUUUGGUGAUUAGCUUUAAAAAUUGCUACAGGUUAUUUGACAUUCUUCUCCACAGGCUUAUUUUGAGGGAGUUACUGCUAUAUUCCACUAAUUAAUUUUGAUGAUCAAUUGGGUGCUUCGUUUAUCUACUGUUCACCAGUUUUGAUUCUCAUUUGUUUGGACAGAAUUCAGGUAGAGGCGUCAAGAGGAAGCAGAACUGAAAUUAAUAGAAGAAGAAACUGCAAAAAGAGUUGAAGAUGCAAUUAAGAGAAAAGUUGAUGAAAGCUUGAACAAGGAGGAGAUCAAGCUUGAAAUUAGAAGGCGAUUAGAAGAUGGUAGAAAGAAACUUGUGAACGAAGUUGCUGCUCAACUUGAAAAAGAGAAGGAAUCUGCUCUUAUUGAGUCAAAACAAAAAGAGG